This 200-nucleotide long non-coding RNA is filed under the name Capsicum annuum. Its description in RNAcentral is "long non-coding RNA (CANN_LNC021041)". The record is from RNAcentral. Lineage: Eukaryota; Viridiplantae; Streptophyta; Magnoliopsida; Solanales; Solanaceae.
UGGGAGUGACAUUCUAGGGGAAGGAAGGGCUAGCCUCGGCUUUGGCCCUUGGCUAAUUCUCUUAUUUGAUCCCGGUACCAUCUUAGGGUGGGAAAGGAUGACUCUUGGCCUAUUUUCCUUUUGUCUUGAUGCUUUUCCUAGCCAUUUCCUUCGAAGCAAUUGUACUAAUCUUUUCUUGAUUAAAACAUAGGACGCGUGGC